This 387-nucleotide long non-coding RNA is filed under the name Drosophila guanche. Lineage: Eukaryota; Metazoa; Arthropoda; Insecta; Diptera; Drosophilidae. The record is from RNAcentral.
GUCGCUUUUUACACUUUUUUGGAAAGCCCUUGAUUGCUAUGUGGAUCAUGUCUGCUGUGACGUCUGCUGACUGCACUGUCGUGUGGCUCCUGUCCAGAAGGGAUGGUAGGUUCAAUGUGCUGUUUGCGGGUGCGCAGGUACAGGUGCAGCCUCAAACAGAGUGUAAUAUAAGUAUGUAUUGAUAACAUGCACAUGCUAAAACAGAAAGAGACGGAGACUGUUGCAUUUGCAGCCAACCCUGUUUGUUGCUAGGCCUGGCGCCUGGUUUGUUACGUGACAUUUUAUCAGUCGCCCGAGUCUCGAGGUGCACCGUUGUUCUUGUACACGUCGUCCACCCAGCAACUGUUUUCGUUUAUGCGCGCAGGUCGUUUCUAAUCGUGUUUAAAG